Molecule: ribosomal RNA, 301 nt
Filed under: uncultured bacterium
Lineage: Bacteria
Description: partial 16S ribosomal RNA
Rfam family: Bacterial small subunit ribosomal RNA
Source: RNAcentral
CAGUCGCCGCGGUAAUACGUAGGGGGCAAGCGUUGUCCGGAAUUAUUGGGCGUAAAGCGCGCGCAGGCGGUCAUUUAAGUCUGGUGUUUAAUCCCGGGGCUCAACCCCGGAUCGCACUGGAAACUGGGUGACUUGAGUGCAGAAGAGGAGAGUGGAAUUCCACGUGUAGCGGUGAAAUGCGUAGAUAUGUGGAGGAACACCAGUGGCGAAGGCGACUCUCUGGGCUGUAACUGACGCUGAGGCGCGAAAGCGUGGGGAGCAAACAGGAUUAGAUACCCCCGUAGUCCCUGUCUCUUAUACA